GGAAGCUUUCGGGUGGAAUGAACUUAACUUAGCGGCGGACGGGUGAGUAACGCGUGGACAACCUACCCUGUACAGGGGGAUAACAAUGGGAAACCAUUGCUAAUACCCCAUAACACCUUUUAGGGGCAUCCCUUUAAGGUCAAAGAAUUUCGGUACAGGAUGGGUCCGCGUCUGAUUAGCUAGUUGGUGAGGUAAUGGCUCACCAAGGCGACGAUCAGUAGCCGGCCUGAGAGGGUGAACGGCCACACUGGAACUGAGACACGGUCCAGACUCCUACGGGAGGCAGCAGUGGGGAAUAUUGCACAAUGGGCGAAAGCCUGAUGCAGCAACGCCGCGUGAGCGAUGAAGGCUUUCGGGUCGUAAAGCUCUGUCCUAAGGGAAGAUAAUGACGGUACCUUAGGAGGAAGCCCCGGCUAACUACGUGCCAGCAGCCGCGGUAAUACGUAGGGGGCAAGCGUUAUCCGGAAUCAUUGGGCGUAAAGGGUGCGUAGGCGGCCCUAUAGGUCAGAGGUCAAAGGCUACGGCUCAACCGUAGUAAGCCUUUGAAACUGUAGGGCUUGAGUGCAGGAGAGGAGAGUGGAAUUCCUAGUGUAGCGGUGAAAUGCGUAGAUAUUAGGAGGAACACCAGUGGCGAAGGCGACUCUCUGGACUGCAACUGACGCUGAGGCACGAAAGCGUGGGGAGCGAACAGGAUUAGAUACCCUGGUAGUCCACGCCGUAAACGAUGAGUGCUAGGUGUCGGGGGUCGAACCUCGGUGCCGCAGCUAACGCAUUAAGCACUCCGCCUGGGGAGUACGUUCGCAAGAAUGAAACUCAAAGGAAUUGACGGGGACCCGCACAAGCAGCGGAGCAUGUGGUUUAAUUCGAAGCAACGCGAAGAACCUUACCUGGACUUGACAUCCCUCGGACCGCUUUUUAACCAAAGCCUUCCCUUCGGGGACUGAGGUGACAGGUGGUGCAUGGUUGUCGUCAGCUCGUGUCG
RNAcentral lists this ribosomal RNA (982 nucleotides) under uncultured bacterium. RNAcentral's name for it is "bacterial SSU rRNA". It matches the Rfam family "Bacterial small subunit ribosomal RNA", at positions 69 to 1067 of the family's 1533-position model. The record is from RNAcentral.